GAGAGAGAGAGAGAAAACCAGUAGAUAGGCUAGACCAGAUAAAGAAUAGAGAAAGCUAGUAUUUUUUUUUUUUUUUUUUAAUGAAAACAAGCAGUGAGAAAACAAAUAGAGAGUGCAAGUGUUAGAGAGUCAUACAUAAGCAGGCUUUGUAAUAGGCUAAAUAGGGGGUUGAAUGUUCGUAAAAAAAAAAAAAAAAAAAAACCACCAAAUCUUAAACUACUUUAACUAUAAAACUUAAUCUUUUUAUACUUUUAUACUUAUUAUCACUGUAAAAGUGAUGUUUUAUCUGACUCACGUGCAGGGGUGGCGUUUUUCACCUGUGAAUGGGUCAUGGAACUACGAAAAAAACCUUAAAUUGAUUAUUUAAUAAUUUAAUUAGAUUUAAGUUAUUUAUUAACGAAAUCUUUGUUUAGCCUAUGUAAAUUCCGCGUGCUUUAAUGAGCGCGCGCUGAACAUUGGAGUAGCGUUCAUUCAGAUUCAAACACUGGAGCGGAGGGAGUUGCCAUGGAAACGGGGCGACCGACAACACUGGCAAGCUGCAAGCUCCGUUUCUUGCUGCUGUUUUCACUGCUUUCGAUUGCUUGUUAUAUUUCCAGAUUCUUUCGUGCUUGAUGUUCUUCUGCAUCCCAGAGUCUGAGCAAACCUCCUGUCCAACAACAUCUCCAAGACACACUGAACCAUACGGCUAGCAGCGACAAACACAUCGUGGACCAAAGAGGAAACUGACAACACACAGACAGACAAGACAGAGAUAGUUACUUCUGCCUCGCGUGUGAAGACUUCAGAAGAUGCCAGACCUCACAAAGAUUUCAGAUGAUGGCAACUAUAGAUGAACUUGCAAAGCUGCUUAAUAAUCCUUAUAUUGUAAUCAUUGCCCUAAAAGGUAAGUUUGCAGAUUUUUAACCAGCUUUGUAUGGACCCUUUAUUCACAUUUCUGGGUUUCUCAGUAGCGGAAAGUAGUCCAAUUGGGUUAACUUGAAGAGCAGUGAAUGGGAGAGUACCACAAAUAUAUUUUCUGCAUUCCCAAAGAGCAAAAGAAAAACUCCACGAUAGUGUUUUCAUGACUUUCAAUAAAAGGAAAACAAUUGAGAGAGAGACUUCUAACAGCAGUCAGAAGAGAAAACGAUGUCAAAUUUACCAUCCCUCCCAUAGACGCUGCAUUAAAGUGAAAGUGACGUGACAAACAGCCAAGUAUGGUGACCCAUACUCAGAAUUGGUGCUCUGCAUUUAACCCAUCCAAAGAUACGGACAAAAUCGAAUCAAAUUUCUUUGAUCAAUUUUGCGAUUUCGAUUUUAAUCACGAUUUUGACACACACAGAUAUGCUUUACAGCCAUAAAUGCAUUUAGUAUGAAUUUGAAACAUAUUUCCAAAAGAAAACCAAUUAGAGCUUUAUCAAAAAGUUGUAACAUGUCUCUAGAACAGACAGAAGUCAAAAUAAUCACUAAAUAAAGGUGUUACAAAAUGUCUACCAUAUGGCAAAUCAAUAAAAUAAAAAUAAAUCCCGUGUACAGGUAUUUUUUUUUCUUUUUUGCCAUGCAUUGGUCAUAGAGCUCAUUGUACUGGUGCCUCAGGUGUUGAAAUAUAUAUUGAAACAAAGCACAUUAAAAUAAUGCGGAAGCGCGAAUCUCUCCACUCCCACACCAAUUUUUUUUAAUGCAAAACAAUAGUAAUUUUUUCAUCACAUAUUUUUUUCAUAUUCCUCUGAAAUUAAAAGAAUACUGCACAUUGUAAUUUCUAUGAGUUAAGUCUAUUAUCAAAGCAUUUGUCAGUAAUACAGUUUAAAUGGGGGAAAUAUGUGAACGAUUGCAGGCUGAUUUAAGGUGUGCCCCUAAAUGUUCUGCUUGUACUGCUAGAAAUUUUCAGUCAGGGGCUCUAGUGCUUCUUAUAAAAAUAGUUAGUCUGGAGCCCUGUAAAAUAUUAAUUAGUUUGGACAUCUUACCUUUUUGCAUGUUUACUGAAGAGCACUUUGGGAUUCCGUAUGUAUUUAUGAUACAAAUGUAAAUGGCUGUAAAUGAACUUAAAAAGCUGUUGCAUGCCAUGUCUCAUAAGCACUCGUCUGUUAGCAAUGGUAAUUUUAUUUAACAACAUUAUUAAUGAGAUCAUUGAAAAAGUAAUAUUGUGCCUUUAUUAAACGAUCCUCUACGAAAAUACAUUUUUACUGUGUUAUCGAUGUACUUUCAGGACGGAUCUUAUCAGCAAAUCUACUUCACAGCACAUCAGUGAAAACAGUUGACAGUUACAGACGGGUGUGUUGGAUCAGGUUCAGAUCUGAAUUCUGAUGGUUUUCUGGGAUGACAGUUGAAGAGAUCAGCACAUCAGAUGUUGGUCUGGACAGCUGUACCUACAGUACACCACAGUGACCUCUCUGCUUUUGCAUGGAUGGCUGACUACUACCAUGUUCUGUGAAGGUAUUAUUAUAGCAAACCUGAGCACCUGUGACAGUGGAAUAGUUGUAAUGAAUAGUCACACAUGCAUAUUGGUAAAUUUAAAGUCACAGAUAAUUUUUUUUAGUACUAGCAAUAUUUUUAUUUUAAAUUUUUUACUAAUUCUCUCCAGCAAACACAACACAACAGUUACACCAUUUCAAAUUCUGAGGUGCACAAAUCCUAUUCUACAAAUAAGAGAACAACAGUAUAAAAGUGCUCAGUUUAGCCCCUUUCACACUGAGAUUCCAGAUGAUACACGGGUAAUUGUUCCCGGAUCGUUAGAUUUUGGUUCAUUCACACUGCCAGUGAGUGCGUUCACACACAACCGGUAAAGGUCCCAUAAUGAUACGAGACAUCAGGAUGUGAUGUGUAAUGUACGAGUUGAAAACGCUAGGCCGCCAAAAAACGGAAGAAGGAGAAGAAGCAAACCAGAAGUGUUUUCAAUACUUUAUAAACAUGGCAGCUGAUCAGCUACUGGGGCCAUUGUUGUUUAUGUAUAAAGCAUCUUCCACACAGAAAUUCCGGAAAAUACACCAAUAAUGUGUUCCAGGAUCCUCUAAUUGUGGUUCAUUCACACUGCCAGUAAUUUUCUGGAAUCUGUGUGUGCGUUCACACACAACCCAUAAAGAUCCCGUAAAGACACGUGACAUUACGAUGUGACGUGUUUUGUUUCACUUAAACUGGUGAACGAUCUCAGCUUCAGCACGGAUAGUGAGGAACUAACUGAUCUCUGCUUCAUUACAAUUUGCACAUUUUUUUCGUCACGAAUGUUGAUCUGCCUUCAAAACACCUGCUAAAAGAGUCGCAUGAUAACGUGCGUCAUCACUACGACACAUCCUUUACGCCAUUGGUUCUGGCUUUUGUUCACACAGAGCUCGUUCUAGGUAAGGUAAGUGCUAGUAUCAGUGGUGGAGGUGCUGAGGAAAAAAAAAAAAAGAGGUGUCUUUAAGAGGUGUUUUUGGAAAAUGGCUGAAGACUCAGAUGCUCGAAUUGAGAAAGGCAGGUCAUUCUACCAUGAUCUUAUCUACAAAUACUACUGUUCUCAUAAAGUCUGUAAAUAUGUCCAGUUCUAAUAAACACACAUUUCAGGAAAAAAUAAUUCAAUAAUAUGACCAAAAUGAAAUACAGCCCUGCAUAAAUCUGGUAUAACUGAGUCUGUGAAUUUCUUAAUUUGUGAUUUGUAGAAUAGGAUUUAUGCACCUGCAAUGAAGAUUUUGAGAAGGUUUUGUUGUGUUUGUGAGAGAGAAAGAAACAAAAUACAAGCUUGUAACUCCAAAAACAUUUUCUUGAUAACUUUACUGAAAUAUUCUCUACAAAUACAAAUUCCACUGUCACAGGUGCUCAAUUUUGUUACAAUAAUGUACAAAGUGUCUCAAAUGUACUAUAGAUGUACUGUAUGCAAAUAAAACAAAGGGACAUUAACAACUGAAUAUUCAGGGGAUGGAAACUUAUCACCUUUAAGUAAAAUUGAAUUUUGAAUCUAAAUAUCAUUUGCAUGAUUUGUGUAGAUCCAAAAGAGUUUUUAAAAGUGCAUUAGUUAAAUAGCACAUGCUAAAUAGCACAAGGCAUAUUUUACAUGUUAUUUACAUAAUAAAAAGAUAAGGGAAACAUGUUUUACAUCAAGUGUUGCCAUUUUAUAUGAAAAUAUACAAAAGAUAAUAUUUUUGAGGCACAUGAUAAAAAAAUUACCCCCAAACUUGAGGGAAAUGUAAUAAUGGAGUGAUGGUUAAUGUAUAAAAAAAGCAACUAAAAACUAACUUUAUUGUCUUAUUUGUCUGUCUGCUGAUAUUUAAUUGUGGGUUACAUCGUCACCUUUUUCAAACCUGACCUGAAUAGUUCACAUCCCUGAUAUUACAAAGAACUUAAGUUUUAAUUGGUAAUAACAUUUUUAUUCAGUGAAUAUGGUUUUUAAUUUGUUACUUGACACUAUUUAUAUUAGCCUAUAAUAUACUUUAUACCUUUAUACCUCUUUGUGUGUGUAUUUGUGUGUAAAUGCAUUUUCUUUGCUAGACAUAGAAGGUUUGUGCUCUAAACAUGUAUUUGUAACAGUGUUUAAACUGUAUUCGUAUUGUAUAAAUAAUAAAGAAAUUAUGACUGAAUGUGAUGUGUGUUUAAUAAAUUAUUACAUAUACAGGCUAAUUUAUUUAGUACUAAGUAUGUGAGAUUUUUAAAACAAGCAGAAAAUGUUAAUAGUAACGUCAUUUUACCCAUAUGAAAUCAACAUCGUUUCAACGUUAAGUAAGCAAACCAAUUAGAUCGAUUUUAUGUUGAAAACGUGUUGAUUCUCUGACGUCGUUUCAACCAACUGAAAUUCUACGUCGAUUCAACGUUAGGUAAGUGAACCAAUUGCGUCGAUUUUCCGUUAGUUUUGAAUGGCGUGCCUGACGUUGGAUCAACGUUAACCCGAUGAGCAAAACGAUGUUGGAUCGACGUCGGAGAUCAACGUCGUUUCGACGCCACGCGAAACGUCGAUUCUACGUUGAUUCUAUGUUAGUUUGCUAUCUG
Molecule: long non-coding RNA, 4932 nt
Organism: Cyprinus carpio carpio
Lineage: Eukaryota; Metazoa; Chordata; Actinopteri; Cypriniformes; Cyprinidae
Source: Ensembl